GAAGCGUCAGACCUCUGCUGUUUAGAAAAUAAGCAUAUCAGAUUUUUCCUGUUGAGAGAUAUUUAUACAUCAUACGGCGUGGAAAUGUACAAUACUUUGUUAAAAUCGGAGGAGGAGUGGAUGUUCAGAGGACUAGAUAAACCUGACCUGGACAUGAAAUUUCCGGACUACUGUGCUAUUCUAGGAGGG
Molecule: long non-coding RNA, 189 nt
Organism: Saccostrea cuccullata (small rock oyster)
Lineage: Eukaryota; Metazoa; Mollusca; Bivalvia; Ostreida; Ostreidae
Exons: 3
Source: RefSeq, a predicted model, not a curated record